Molecule: ribosomal RNA, 253 nt
Filed under: uncultured bacterium
Lineage: Bacteria
Description: partial 16S ribosomal RNA
Rfam family: Bacterial small subunit ribosomal RNA
Source: RNAcentral
UACGUAGGGAGCAAGCGUUGUCCGGAAUUACUGGGCGUAAAGAGCUCGUAGGUGGUUUGUCGCGUUGUUCGUGAAAACUCACAGCUCAACUGUGGGCGUGCGGGCGAUACGGGCAGACUUGAGUACUGCAGGGGAGACUGGAAUUCCUGGUGUAGCGGUGGAAUGCGCAGAUAUCAGGAGGAACACCGGUGGCGAAGGCGGGUCUCUGGGCAGUAACUGACGCUGAGGAGCGAAAGCGUGGGGAGCGAACAGG